Transfer RNA from Gloeocapsa sp. PCC 7428, 73 nucleotides. It matches the Rfam family "tRNA". Rfam says of the family: Transfer RNA (tRNA) molecules are approximately 80 nucleotides in length. Their secondary structure includes four short double-helical elements and three loops (D, anti-codon, and T loops). Further hydrogen bonds mediate the characteristic L-shaped molecular structure. tRNAs have two regions of fundamental functional importance: the anti-codon, which is responsible for specific mRNA codon recognition, and the 3' end, to which the tRNAs corresponding amino acid is attached (by aminoacyl-tRNA synthetases). tRNAs cope with the degeneracy of the genetic code in two manners: having more than one tRNA (with a specific anti-codon) for a particular amino acid; and 'wobble' base-pairing, i.e. permitting non-standard base-pairing at the 3rd anti-codon position. The record is from Rfam. Lineage: Bacteria; Bacillati; Cyanobacteriota; Cyanophyceae; Chroococcidiopsidales; Chroococcidiopsidaceae.
CCUGCCGUGGCCGAGUGGAUGAGGCAACAACCUUCUAAGUUGUAUCACGGGGGUUCGAAUCCCUCCGGCAGGG